UGCGGGCGGGGCGGCGGGGCCGGGGCAGUCCCGGGACCGGACCUUCUCCCGCGUCCGCUGCAGGGCAUGGGCGCCGCGGCUCCGCGCUGUGCUGCCGCGCCCCGGCCCCAUGAGCCCUCGCCGGAGCGAGUGAGUGCGGGGGGCGCCCGGGUGGGUGCCGGCGGCCCGGCCUCGGGAGGGAGGAUGUGGUGAGAGGAUGGGGCUGUGUCCCGCGGGGGCUCGCCAUGGCCAGGGAGGACUCGGUGAAGUGCCUGCGCUGCCUGCUCUACGCCCUCAACCUGCUCUUCUGGGUGAGUUUCAGAGGAAUCCUGUGACCCGAGGUGAACUCCAAAAGCAGUCUACUGUGCCCAGGCCUUGCCCGGAGUCUUUUUUCUACAUUCAGUGGCCAGAUCCUAACUGGUAGGCAAGGCCCAUUUCUUUUGUUUUGAGGAUUUCAGUCAAAGCUGUAUUUAUACCAGCAGGGUUUCUUGCUCUCCAGCACAGGUGGAUGUGAUCAACACUUGUUCCUUAAACUUUCAGAGCUCUGAAGAAAAAGCAAGUUGGAUAUUACUGAGAAUCCUCAUUCACUUGCACCAAAUGCAAUCUCUUUCACCUGAAUAGUUGAGAUUUGUGCAGGAUAAGGGUAAGAUGGCAAAAGGCGUAACAUCCUACACCUGUUCACAAUGUCUUACUCCUGAAGUGCUGUAGAUUUGAAUGGUGCAGAGAUAAUACAUGGACUGGGACCAAGCCUAGUUUAUAUUAAGAGUUUUUUUCCACCUGCACUGAGCUCUGGGGUCCUCAACAGGAGAUUGACCUGUUGGAGUGAGUCCCAAAGAGGGCCACC
Molecule: long non-coding RNA, 823 nt
Filed under: Lepidothrix coronata (blue-crowned manakin)
Lineage: Eukaryota; Metazoa; Chordata; Aves; Passeriformes; Pipridae
Description: lncRNA (ENSLCOG00000003310.1)
Source: RNAcentral